CAUAUGCAAACGGAGGACCUCAGACACAGAAAAUGCUGUUUUCAAGUGGAACCCAGCCCAGAGCAAACCUUACAAGUGGCUUCUCUCUGGUUUUAAAAAGACACCAAAAUUGAGUUUGAUAUGUUUAUAUUAUAGAUAUAAUACAUAGGACAUCUAGCAUGAAACUUUGUGUCCCCUCCCCCCAAAAAAAGAAGAGAAGGAAGCAGUCCACCCCUGCUUCCAGUGGCAGGGUUGUGUACAAAUUGGCUGGAGGUGGCCUUCUUUCCAGACCCAGAGCCAGGGCCUUUGGGGAUGGGGGUGGGUGGGUGGGGAAGCCAGUAUAAGUCUCAGCCGGAGGAAGGAAGCUAAGACCCACAACUACAUACACCCUUGGAAAACUAGGGGAGAGGGAGAAGCCCACUUCAUUUCAUUGGUCCUCUGGGAGGCGAAAGAAAACAAAACAAAACAAAACAAAACAAAAAAACCAAACAUCCCUAAACCAAAAAGAAUGAGAGCCUCACUCAGCCCCUUCCCCUGGCCGUUCGUGAAGAGUCUCAUUUUGGCAAGAAUCAGAGCAAAACCAAAACAAAACAAAAGACCAAAUAAAAUGGUGGUUUAGCAUAGACGCGCACACUGACAUUGCACAAGGCACCGCUGGGACACAGAGACCAGAUACAAGUGUUGAUAUCAGAUGAUAAAGCAAAAUAUUUGGGAAGCUUGUCAUAACUCCAGUCCCUCUGGGAUGGAUCGAUUAUGCUUCAAGUUCCUUCAGCAACAGCGGCUGGCGACAUACAGUACACACAAGGCGGAUGGUCCCAGUGUCUUCAUCCUCCACCCCAAGACCAGAAACUAAGGUCCCUGUCUUCUACCACUUGCUUAACCACAUGGCCAGUUCACAACUCAGCCUUCUGGUCUGACUGGGGGUGUUGCCCCCUUCUCCACGAACUCACCAAGGAAACCUGGCCUGUUGUAAGCUGGGGGUGGGGGGAGGAAUGUAGAUGGAGGAGCGAAAAGCAAGGGGCUAAGAACCCUCCAUCUCCAUGUAACUAGGGGUGGGGACACUUUUAAGACUCAAAUCCCCAACUCCCUAAGUCCCUCCCCUCUAAGGACAGGGACGGAGGGGCAGCUCAGGGACUGCUGGGACCUCAGCUUCCUGAAUCUUCCUCCUGCCCUGGGCCUGCACCCUUCAUUUUUCUCAUGGGGGCCUGCUGCAGCUCUGGAGGAAGCAGGAAUCCUCCAAAUAAAAUAUCAAGGCACAUGUUUGCUCCCCCUACUCGGUAGGAAAAGGAGCGAGUUUUGAGUAUCCAAGGCACAAGGUUACUUCCUUAAUACUAAAACUGCCGGGCUCCCAGCUCAGCUCCGCGGAGAAGUCUCUCGGUCUAAAGGAGAAACCACCACGGCCUGACUCCCUCUCAUCUUAGACGCACCGAGUCCGGCUCAGAGGAAGGGAGGGGACACGCGGAGCAGGCCAGGCUUUCAGGCGACACCAGAAUCUCCUAGUCCUGGCUUGCACGGUCCGGGCAGCCUAGAGAUCCAGCGACCCUAAACCAUCCUCCGGGUCCCCAGCCAGGGGGCCGGCUCAAGGCGGUCCCGCAGCCGCGCGCCUCACGCGCAGUUGCCCAUGGCCUUGACCAAGGAGCUCUCAGGCAGCUGGCGGAAGAUACCCCGCAGCGUGUCCAGUUCACGGCUCAGCUGUUCCACCCGCUUGCGCAGGCGGUCAUUGUCACUGGUCAACUCCAACACCUUCUGCUGCGUCUCCACGUUGCGCUGUUUGGCUUUAUCUCGGCUCUUGCGCACCGCGAUGUUGUUGCGUUCCCGCCGUACCCGGUACUCGUUGCUGUUCUUAUCCACCGACUUCUUGGCCUUGCCCGCGCCGGCCCCGCCGCCGCCGCCGCCGCCGGUGCGGAGGUCGGGGUGCGGACCAGCCAAGCCCUUGAGCGAGCCCCCGGGGCCCGGCAGGCCCGCAGCACCCAUUGCAGGCGCGGGAUGAGGGCUGGGCACGGGCGUCGGCGGCGGCGUAGGGUGGCCAGGCUGCAGGUGCAUGGUGGUCUGGCCGCAGUGUGCGAUCUGGAACUGCAAGUGAGGGGCGGCCAAGUGCGCGGGAGACGCGUGCGGGUGCGGUGGCGGCGGCGGCGGCGGGGGCUGAUAGGGGAAGAGGCCGGCCAGCGCCAGCUGCUUCGCCUCGUCCUCCUCGCGGGGCUCCUGCUUGAUCACCAGCGGCCGCAGCGCGGGCGCCCCGACGCGCUCGUACAGGGGCUCCAGCCUGCCGUCCAGGUAGCCGGCCGCCGCACAGCCGUAGCCGGGAGGGGGUCCGUGCGCCCCCGCGGACAUGACCGCACCGCCGGGGCCCGCCGGGGCGCCCGGGUAGUCAAAGUCACCGCCGCCACCCGCGGGGCCCGCCGCCGCCUUGGCCUUCUCCUGCUGCCGGCUGUGCUGGAAGAGGUCGGCCAGGAACUCGUCGUUGAAGGCGGCCGGGUCGAUGUAGGCGCUGAUGUCUAUAGACGUCUCGUGCUCGCAGAUGCCGCCCAGCGGCUCCGGGGCGGCAGGUGGGGCUGGGGGCGGCGCGGGGCCCGCGCCCCGGGGAAAGCCAAAGGCGGCGUUGCUGGGCGCGUGCGGGGGGCUCUGGAGGUGGCUGCUCAUCGGGGGCCGCGGCUCCGCCUCGUAGAAGUCGGCCGACUCCAUGGGGGAGUUAGAGUUCUCCCGGCAUGGCGAGCCUCGGCGGCCUCCAGCCUGCGCGUGGCGCCGCUGUCGCCGCCGCCCACCCAGUACCCCAACUCGCCCGCGCCCGCGCAGCUUUGGGUCGCGAAUGGCCAGGCCCGCGCGGGGACCGCUUUUAUAGAGGGUCGGGCAUCGCCCCCUGGUGUCCAAGCGGGUCUUGGGCGGAGGGCGCCUGCCGGAUGGUGCCUGCUGGGUCUUAGAGCCUGCCUUCUCUUGUGACUUUCCAAGGCGGUGAGUGGGGCGGGAGCACAGUGCUAGUGGAGAGAGAUCGUGGCGCAACGCC
This is a long non-coding RNA of Rattus norvegicus (Norway rat), 2980 nucleotides long. Ensembl annotates it as CCAAT/enhancer binding protein alpha. Its record names the gene Cebpa. NCBI's taxonomy places the organism in Eukaryota, Metazoa, Chordata, Mammalia, Rodentia, Muridae. The record is from Ensembl.